This is a long non-coding RNA of Malus domestica (apple), 385 nucleotides long. RefSeq lists it as uncharacterized. NCBI's taxonomy places the organism in Eukaryota, Viridiplantae, Streptophyta, Magnoliopsida, Rosales, Rosaceae. The record is from RefSeq and is a predicted model, not a curated record.
GUUCGUGUCGUCGAGUAGAUCAAUUUCAUAUAUUUAUACCCUAGGUUUGAGCAAACUAUGGGCGUUUUAUUUAGGUUUCCGUUAUGUGCUUUAAUUAAUGUUAUUUAGUUAUUUCACAUAUAGGGGAAACUUAUUCCGAGGAUUUUCGAAGUCAAGCUAGGCUCGGGGGCUACGACCCAGCGACGUACUUGACCUAGAUAGCUGUACUCUCUGUGGCACUCGAGGAAUCACGGCAGUUCUGACAUUUCCUUCUGUUUAGACGUAUAAACUUAUCACUACUAUGUAAUAAGUGUACUUUGGUUGCCUUGACUACUCUUUCGUAGUCUCACUGUCUAUUACGCUCUGAAUAAUUGCAGUGGGUUCAACCCACGAAUUGCGCACUCUU